CUCCCUCCCUCCCUCCCUGCUGGUGGUGCAGCCUGCAUGUGCCCUGGUGACCUGGUUGUGAGUGACAUGUGCCAAGGCCCCAUACUGGAGGUGGUUCACCUGCUGCUCUUUUGCUUUGGUUAAUAUUGGUUUUAUUCCUUGUGGGCAUUAUUAGCUUAAUUAUUUAGUUUGUUUGAAUUAUCUUUGUUUGACCAACUGGGUUACAUCAUUAUUGGCUGUGUUGUUUAUGAUUAUAUUCUUAAUUUCUACAAUAGUUUUUGUUACAGUGCAGCUGAGUGCCACACUGCUGGAGGGCUAUGGCUCUCUGGGUGAGCUCCCCAUGUUGAUGCAUAACAAACUCGCGUACUUGAUUGGUGUCCAGAGAGGGACGUUGAAACUGUGGAUCUUGGGUGCCAAUCUCCCCCC
Non-coding RNA from Paralichthys olivaceus (Japanese flounder), 405 nucleotides. The record is from RefSeq and is a predicted model, not a curated record. Lineage: Eukaryota; Metazoa; Chordata; Actinopteri; Pleuronectiformes; Paralichthyidae.